RNAcentral lists this ribosomal RNA (253 nucleotides) under uncultured bacterium. Its description in RNAcentral is "partial 16S ribosomal RNA". It matches the Rfam family "Bacterial small subunit ribosomal RNA", at positions 524 to 776 of the family's 1533-position model. The record is from RNAcentral.
GACGAACCGUGCAAACGUUGUUCGGAUUCACUGGGCUUAAAGGGCGCGUAGGCGGGUGGUCAAGUCAGGGGUGAAAUCUUUCAGCUCAACUGGAAAACAGCUUCUGAUACUGGCCAUCUUGAGGGAGGUAGGGGCAUGUGGAACUUCCGGUGGAGCGGUGAAAUGCGUAGAUAUCGGAAGGAGCGCCGGUGGCGAAAGCGACGUGCUGGACCUUUUCUGACGCUGAGGCGCGAAAGCCAGGGGAGCAAACGGG